RNAcentral lists this ribosomal RNA (280 nucleotides) under uncultured prokaryote. RNAcentral describes it as "partial 16S ribosomal RNA". It matches the Rfam family "Bacterial small subunit ribosomal RNA", at positions 524 to 803 of the family's 1533-position model. The record is from RNAcentral.
UACGUAGGGGGCUAGCGUUAUCCGGAUUUACUGGGCGUAAAGGGUGCGUAGGUGGUUUCUUAAGUCAGAGGUGAAAGGCUACGGCUCAACCGUAGUAAGCCUUUGAAACUGGGAAACUUGAGUGCAGGAGAGGAGAGUGGAAUUCCUAGUGUAGCGGUGAAAUGCGUAGAUAUUAGGAGGAACACCAGUUGCGAAGGCGGCUCUCUGGACUGUAACUGACACUGAGGCACGAAAGCGUGGGGAGCAAACAGGAUUAGAUACCCCGUAGUCCCUGAGCGGG